CAUGCUGCAGUUUAAUGUUAGCCAGACAGGACCCAAAAAAGUCACCAGUUCUAGUUUUACUAGAGGCAACCACGGUACAGCUUACGUCCCGCACACGGUAACAAUCCACGCGUCGGUGUCAAAACGAAAGUAAAAGCCAAAGAAAAAUUAGUUUAACAAAAGCGAUGCCUCGCUGCUUCACGGGGAAAUCAGCUGCAGAUUCUGUCUUUCCGCAGCGCGUCAACAGCCGGUCUUAUGACAUUUCUACUGAAGUAGCGCAGUUUAGUUGCGGAAGUAUUUUCAGGAUAUGGUAAUAGACAUGACUAUACAUUUACUGGUAGAACAUUUCGACAAGGCAGGCCAAAUCGACAGAACACCGGAACCGCCUUGAGCAGCAGCCUUGUCCGAGAGCGAGUGGGUCUUGGCUGAAUGGGGAAAAGGCAAUGUUGUCUAGUUACCGUGGAUUGCCUCUCGGUUGCGAGGCGAGCUGCCUUUUUAAAGAUAGCCGGCGUCUUGUACAAAACCGCGGCAGGCGCGGCUUGUUUCACUCUCGUCUGGUGCGGCUGGGUGUCUGUCUGCGUGUGCACGCAGCUGUGCUGAGGCGUUCCUGCAAUGUCCAGAGCGCUGUAGGAGGCGGUGUUUGCUGGUGUGAAACGGGAAGUGGGUGGUGUGGUGUGAUGGAGAGCUGAGCCUCGACGGGCCCCAUGUGGGAUGCCAAAAAAGGCUCGGGGGUUCCUCACCUUCAGUGCGUUUUGGAAAUCCACGGACGACAAGAUCAAGGUAAAGUCGGUGUCUUUUUUCACGAGAAGGAUCCACUGAACAAAAUCCACAGCAAUUUUUCAUCCAAAAAACGUGUAGAGGACUUGUUCAGUGAAGGACUUGAUUCAGAUCUAUAUCGACCUGCUGCUGCCAGAGGUAGCAAGGGGAGGGUGGUGGAGAGUGGCAGGCGCAGGGAAAGUGAGAAUUUCUGCAAACGUCUUCAACUAGCACAUAGUAUAUAUUGUAUACUAUUUUACACCUCUAAACACCCAUAAUAUCAUUUGGUAACCAAGUGUCCUUUUUGAGUUUCCAAAUGGCCUUUUUGGAAACCUGGCUAGACAUAGCUUAGAAAAAAAACAAUGCAGAAUGCACGUUUGGUGGUAUUCAAUUUUGAACCAGGAUUUGCCCAAUGGUGUGGCUGUGGCUUCAUUGUAUUUUUAAACCCACCAGGCAUUUGUAUCCAUUCCUCCAAAAAGUUAAUAAAAUAAAAAAAAUAAUCUUUUAGGUGAGAGAAAAAACUUCCACUGUGUUUGAGCUUCUAGUAGGCUACUUUCUGAUUUAUUAUUUUUUAAGAGCAAUUCUGACUCUUGGCAAACAAACUCCCAAGGGUUACGUUUCAGCAGAGCCAGGAUUAUGCCUGUAGUCAAAAGGGCUCAAGUAGUAGCCAUUUUAUUGUGGGCAUGUCAUUUUCAGACUUGUGAUAAAAAAGGUGUGAUGCUGGAGGCGUUAUACUGCUCUGUAUUCGCCCUUGUAUCUCAUUUCCUGUCUCUAACUGCACGCUCAUCUCGUGUGUAGAUCAUGUUCUUCAUUACUUUCUCCUCUCAUUGUGUAGUCACAUUGCUGUAGGCUACGAUCAUAAGCAUAAUAUAAUAUAUAAUUGAAAACAAGCAAACAAAUAAAUGCAUAAAUAAAUA
This is a long non-coding RNA of Anguilla rostrata (American eel), 1652 nucleotides long. RefSeq lists it as uncharacterized. The record is from RefSeq and is a predicted model, not a curated record. Lineage: Eukaryota; Metazoa; Chordata; Actinopteri; Anguilliformes; Anguillidae. The transcript has 2 exons.